CUAAUAAGCCAGGGGAGCCUGGGAGAACCGGGCUGAGAGGGUGUCUAGGCGUAUCGCCACCGACACCGACCCUUUGAACCUGAUCUGGGUUAUGCCAGCGGAGGGAGGAGCAGGGUGCAGGUG
RNAcentral lists this non-coding RNA (123 nucleotides) under Chloroflexus aurantiacus. Its description in RNAcentral is "TPP sequence". It matches the Rfam family "TPP riboswitch aptamer (THI element)". From Rfam's summary of the family: Vitamin B(1) in its active form thiamin pyrophosphate (TPP) is an essential coenzyme that is synthesised by coupling of pyrimidine and thiazole moieties in bacteria. The previously detected thiamin-regulatory element, thi box was extended, resulting in a new, highly conserved RNA secondary structure, the THI element, which is widely distributed in eubacteria and also occurs in some archaea. Lineage: Bacteria; Bacillati; Chloroflexota; Chloroflexia; Chloroflexales; Chloroflexaceae. RNAcentral also lists the same sequence under 1 other name. The record is from RNAcentral.